RNAcentral lists this ribosomal RNA (424 nucleotides) under uncultured bacterium. RNAcentral's name for it is "bacterial SSU rRNA". It matches the Rfam family "Bacterial small subunit ribosomal RNA", at positions 917 to 1344 of the family's 1533-position model. The record is from RNAcentral.
GGGCCCGCACAAGCGGUGGAGCAUGUGGUUUAAUUCGAUGAUACGCGAGGAACCUUACCAGGGCUUAAAUGGGAGAUGACAGGGGCAGAGACGCCCUUUUCUUCGGACAUCUUUCAAGGUGCUGCAUGGUUGUCGUCAGCUCGUGCCGUGAGGUGUCAGGUUAAGUCCUAUAACGAGCGCAACCCCUACCGUUAGUUGCCAGCGAUUCAAGUCGGGGACUCUAACGGGACUGCCGGUGCAAACCGUGAGGAAGGUGGGGACGACGUCAAAUCAUCACGGCCCUUACGUCCUGGGCUACACACGUGCUACAAUGGUCGGUACAGAGGGAAGCUACCCCGUAAGGGGAUGCGGAUCUAUAAAACCGAUCUCAGUUCGGAUCGGGGUCUGCAACUCGACCCCGUGAAGCUGGAAUCGCUAGUAAUCG